CCUACGGGAGGCAGCAGUGGGGAAUAUUGCACAAUGGGCGAAAUCCUGAUGCAGCAACGCCGCGUGAGCGAUGAAGGCCUUCGGGUCGUAAAGCUCUGUCCUCAAGGAAGAUAAUGACGGUACUUGAGGAGGAAGCCGCGGCUAACUACGUGCCCGCAGCCGCGGUAAUACGUCGGGGGCUAGCGUUAUCCGGAAUUACUGGGCGUAAAGGGUGCGUAGGUGGUUUCUUAAGUCAGAGGUGAAAGGCUACGGCUCAACCGUAGUAAGCCUUUGAAACUGGGAAACUUGAGUGCAGGAGAGGAGAGUGGAAUGCGUGGUGUAGCGGUGAAAUGCGUAGAGAUUAGGCAGAACACCAGUUGCGAAGGCGGCUCUCUGGACUGUAACUGACACUGAGGCACGAAAGCGUGGGGAGCGAACAGGAUUAGAUACCCGGGUAGUC
This 439-nucleotide ribosomal RNA is filed under the name uncultured bacterium. Its description in RNAcentral is "partial 16S ribosomal RNA". It matches the Rfam family "Bacterial small subunit ribosomal RNA", at positions 338 to 795 of the family's 1533-position model. The record is from RNAcentral.